This 98-nucleotide small RNA is filed under the name Marmota monax (woodchuck). The record is from RNAcentral. Lineage: Eukaryota; Metazoa; Chordata; Mammalia; Rodentia; Sciuridae.
GCUGGGUGUGGUGAUGCAUGCCUGUAAUCCCAGUGACUUGGGAGGCUGAGGCAAGAAGAUCAAGGCAUCCUCAGCAAUUUAGAGAGAUCUUGUCUCAA